Molecule: ribosomal RNA, 446 nt
Filed under: uncultured bacterium
Lineage: Bacteria
Description: bacterial SSU rRNA
Rfam family: Bacterial small subunit ribosomal RNA
Source: RNAcentral
UCCAGACUCCUACGGGAGGCAGCAGUGGGGAAUAUUGCACAAUGGGGGAAACCCUGAUGCAGCAACGCCGCGUGAGUGAAGAAGUCAUUCGUGAUGUAAAGCUCUAUCAGCAGGGAAGAAAAUGACGGUACCUGAGUAAGAAGCCCCGGCUAACUACGUGCCAGCAGCCGCGGUAAUACGUAGGGAGCAAGCGUUGUCCGGAAUUACUGGGCGUAAAGGGCGCGUAGGUGGGCGCUUAAGUCAGGUGUGAAAACUCCGGGCUCAACCUGGAGACUGCACUUGAAACUGGGUGUCUUGAGGGCAGGAGAGGAAAGUGGAAUUCCUAGUGUAGCGGUGAAAUGCGUAGAUAUUAGGAGGAGCACCAGUGGCGAAGGCGGUCUGCUGGACAGCAACUGACGCUGAGGCGCGAAAGCGUGGGGAGCAAACAGGAUUAGAUACCCGUGUAC